GUAGGGUGCAAGCGUUAAUCGGAAUUACUGGGCGUAAAGCGUGCGCAGGCGGUUGUGCAAGACAGGUGUGAAAUCCCCGGGCUUAACCUGGGAACUGCACUUGUGACUGCACGGCUGGAGUACGGCAGAGGGGGAUGGAAUUCCGCGUGUAGCAGUGAAAUGCGUAGAUAUGCGGAGGAACACCGAUGGCGAAGGCAGUCCCCUGGGCCUGUACUGACGCUCAUGCACGAAAGCGUGGGGAGCAAACAGGAUUAGAUACCCUGGUAGUCCACGCCCUAAACGAUGUCAACUGGUUGUUGGGAAGGUUUCUUCUCAGUAACGUAGCUAACGCGUGAAGUUGACCGCCUGGGGAGUACGGCCGCAAGGUUGAA
This 371-nucleotide ribosomal RNA is filed under the name uncultured bacterium. RNAcentral's name for it is "bacterial SSU rRNA". It matches the Rfam family "Bacterial small subunit ribosomal RNA", at positions 527 to 898 of the family's 1533-position model. The record is from RNAcentral.